This 433-nucleotide ribosomal RNA is filed under the name uncultured bacterium. RNAcentral's name for it is "partial 16S ribosomal RNA". It matches the Rfam family "Bacterial small subunit ribosomal RNA", at positions 29 to 507 of the family's 1533-position model. The record is from RNAcentral.
AACGAACGCUGGCGGCAUGCUUAACACAUGCCAGUCGAGCGAGACCUUCGGGUCUAGCGGCGGACGGGUGAGUACCGCGUGGUAACGUACCCUUCUCUACGCUAUCCCUCCCGGAAGGUGGGCGUCAUGCCAUAUACGCUCAUACGGGGUAGGAUUUAUCGGUGCAGGAUCGGCGCGCGUUGGAUUCGGUGGUUGGUGGGGGAAUAGCCCCCCAUGCGGACGAUCCAUAGCUGGUAUGAGAGGAGGAUCAUCCACACUGGGACUGAGACACGGCCCAGACUCCGACGGGACGCAGCAGUGGGGAAUCUUAGACAAGGGGGGCAACCCUGAUCAAGCCAUGCCGGGGAAGUGAGGAAGGCCGUAGGGUUGUAAAGCUCUCUCAGCUGGGAAGAUAAUGACGGUACCGGCAGAAGAAGCCCCGGCUAACUCCGUG